GGGAGGCAAGAAUGAGGAAUAAUAUUUUAUGUGAGUGGAGAAAUCUCCUGUGAGCUCUAAAUAAAAAGCUUAUUGAUAUUCUGACUUGCCUGUU
Molecule: small nucleolar RNA, 94 nt
Filed under: Daucus carota subsp. sativus
Lineage: Eukaryota; Viridiplantae; Streptophyta; Magnoliopsida; Apiales; Apiaceae
Description: sRNA DCAR_sn00287
Source: RNAcentral